UACAGAGGGGGCCAGCGUUAUUCGGAAUUAUUGGGCGUAAAGGGCGCGUAGGCGGCUUUGCGUGUCUUUCGUGAAAUCCCUCGGCUCAACUGAGGACGUGCGGAAGAAACUGCAGGGCUGGAGUCCGGGAGAGGAGGGUGGAAUUCCCAGUGUAGCGGUGAAAUGCGUAGAUAUCAGGAGGAACACCGGUGGUGUAGACGGCUUUCUGGACCGUAGCUGACGCUGAGACACGAAAGCGUGGGUAGCAAACAGG
RNAcentral lists this ribosomal RNA (253 nucleotides) under uncultured bacterium. RNAcentral's name for it is "partial 16S ribosomal RNA". It matches the Rfam family "Bacterial small subunit ribosomal RNA", at positions 524 to 776 of the family's 1533-position model. The record is from RNAcentral.